UGGGGAAUUUUGCACAAUGGGGGAAACCCUGAUGCAGCGACGCCGCGUGAUUUAGAAGGCCUUCGGGUUGUAAAAAUCUUUUCUAUGGGAAGAAAAUGACAGUACCAUAGGAAUAAGGACCGGCUAAUUACGUGCCAGCAGCCGCGGUAAUACGUAAGGUCCGAGCGUUGUCCGGAAUCAUUGGGCGUAAAGGGUACGUAGGCGGGUAAGCAAGUUAGAAGUGAAAUCCUAUAGCUCAACUAUAGUAAGCUUUUAAAACUGCUCAUCUUGAGGUAUGGAAGGGAAAGUGGAAUUCCUAGUGUAGCGGUGAAAUGCGCAGAUAUUAGGAGGAAUACCGGUGGCGAAGGCGACUUUCUGGCCAUAACCUGACGCUGAGGUACGAAAGCGUGGGUAGCAAACGGG
Molecule: ribosomal RNA, 402 nt
Filed under: bacterium
Lineage: Bacteria
Description: partial 16S ribosomal RNA
Rfam family: Bacterial small subunit ribosomal RNA
Source: RNAcentral